RNAcentral lists this transfer RNA (80 nucleotides) under Caulobacter rhizosphaerae. RNAcentral describes it as "tRNA-Gly". The record is from RNAcentral. Lineage: Bacteria; Pseudomonadati; Pseudomonadota; Alphaproteobacteria; Caulobacterales; Caulobacteraceae.
CCCGCCGGUGGCCUGGUAGGCGCGCGGGCUGCCGGCCCAGGCGGCGAUCUCGCCGUAGGUGCUGGUCCGGCCCGGCGGGA